AUGCAAGUCGAGCGGCAGCGGGAAGUAGCUUGCUACUUUGCCGGCGAGCGGCGGACGGGUGAGUAAUGUCUGGGAAACUGCCUGAUGGAGGGGGAUAACUACUGGAAACGGUAGCUAAUACCGCAUGACCUCGCAAGAGCAAAGUGGGGGACCUUCGGGCCUCACGCCAUCGGAUGUGCCCAGAUGGGAUUAGCUAGUAGGUGGGGUAAUGGCUCACCUAGGCGACGAUCCCUAGCUGGUCUGAGAGGAUGACCAGCCACACUGGAACUGAGACACGGUCCAGACUCCUACGGGAGGCAGCAGUGGGGAAUAUUGCACAAUGGGCGCAAGCCUGAUGCAGCCAUGCCGCGUGUGUGAAGAAGGCCUUAGGGUUGUAAAGCACUUUCAGCGAGGAGGAAGGGUUCAGUGUUAAUAGCACUGUGCAUUGACGUUACUCGCAGAAGAAGCACCGGCUAACUCCG
This 461-nucleotide ribosomal RNA is filed under the name earthworm cast bacterium C11D1. RNAcentral's name for it is "bacterial SSU rRNA". It matches the Rfam family "Bacterial small subunit ribosomal RNA", at positions 55 to 505 of the family's 1533-position model. The record is from RNAcentral.